AUUGAACGCUGGCGGCAGGCCUAACACAUGCAAGUCGAGCGGAUGAAGGGAGCUUGCUCCUGGAUUCAGCGGCGGACGGGUGAGUAAUGCCUAGGAAUCUGCCUGGUAGUGGGUGAUAACGUCCGGAAACGGGCGCUAAUACCGCAUACGUCCUGAGGGAGAAAGUGGGGGAUCUUCGGACCUCACGCUAUCAGAUGAGCCUAGGUCGGAUUAGCUAGUUGGUGGGGUAAAGGCCUACCAAGGCGACGAUCCGUAACUGGUCUGAGAGGAUGAUCAGUCACACUGGAACUGAGACACGGUCCAGACUCCUACGGGAGGCAGCAGUGGGGAAUAUUGGACAAUGGGCGAAAGCCUGAUCCAGCCAUGCCGCGUGUGUGAAGAAGGUCUUCGGAUUGUAAAGCACUUUAAGUUGGGAGGAAGGGCAGUAAGUUAAUACCUUGCUGUUUUGACGUUACCAACAGAAUAAGCACCGGCUAACUUCGUG
This 484-nucleotide ribosomal RNA is filed under the name uncultured bacterium. RNAcentral's name for it is "partial 16S ribosomal RNA". It matches the Rfam family "Bacterial small subunit ribosomal RNA", at positions 30 to 507 of the family's 1533-position model. The record is from RNAcentral.